RNAcentral lists this unclassified non-coding RNA (409 nucleotides) under soil metagenome. Its description in RNAcentral is "partial contains 5.8S ribosomal RNA, internal transcribed spacer 2, and large subunit ribosomal RNA". The stretch from base 1 to 121 matches the Rfam family "5.8S ribosomal RNA", at positions 35 to 154 of the family's 154-position model. The record is from RNAcentral.
GAUGAAGAACGCAGCGAAAUGCGAUAAGUAGUGUGAAUUGCAGAAGUACCGUGAAUCAUCGAAUCUUUGAACGCAAAUUGCACUCUCUGGUAUUCCGGGGAGUAUGCCUGUUUGAGGGUCGCUUAACAAACCAUCGAUUUCGUUGCUUUUUUUUAAAGAGUGAUGUUUAUCGGAUUUGAGCCGUCUUUUUUUUUUAUAUUUAAGUGGCUUAAAAUUGAUUUUUUUGGUACGAUCGAAGCGUAUUUUUAUGAUCAAUUUUUGGUUAAAGAAACGCACACGUACCGUUAUUUAUAUGAUGUAAUACGUUUGACUAUUGGAUUUAGUUCAUUCGUAUACGAUAUUUUUCAAUAUUUGACCUCAAAUCAGGUAAGAACACCCGCUGAACUUAAGCAUAUCAAUAAGCGGAGGA